AGAGUUUGAUCCUGGCUCAGAUUGAACGCUAGCGGGAUGCUUUACACAUGCAAGUCGAACGGCAGCGCGGACUUCGGUCUGGCGGCGAGUGGCGAACGGGUGAGUAAUGUAUCGGAACGUGCCCAGUAGCGGGGGAUAACUACUCGAAAGAGUAGCUAAUACCGCAUACGCCCUACGGGGGAAAGGGGGGGAUCUUAUGACCUCUCACUAUUGGAGCGGCCGAUAUCGGAUUAGCUAGUUGGUGGGGUAAAGGCCUACCAAGGCAUCGAUCCGUAGCUGGUUUGAGAGGACGACCAGCCACACUGGGACUGAGACACGGCCCAGACUCCUACGGGAGGCAGCAGUGGGGAAUUUUGGACAAUGGGGGAAACCCUGAUCCAGCCAUCCCGCGUGUGCGAUGAAGGCCUUCGGGUUGUAAAGCACUUUUGGCAGGAAAGAAAUUGCAUGGGCUAAUACCCUGUGUAGAUGACGGUACCUGCAGAAUAAGCACCGGCUAACUACGUGCCAGCAGCCGCGGUAAUACGUAGGGUGCAAGCGUUGUCCGGAAUUAUUGGGCGUAAAGAGCUCGUAGGCGGUUUGUCGCGUCUGCUGUGAAAAUCCGAGGCUCAACCUCGGAC
Molecule: ribosomal RNA, 617 nt
Filed under: uncultured bacterium
Lineage: Bacteria
Description: bacterial SSU rRNA
Rfam family: Bacterial small subunit ribosomal RNA
Source: RNAcentral